RNAcentral lists this ribosomal RNA (501 nucleotides) under uncultured bacterium. RNAcentral's name for it is "partial 16S ribosomal RNA". It matches the Rfam family "Bacterial small subunit ribosomal RNA", at positions 899 to 1397 of the family's 1533-position model. The record is from RNAcentral.
ACUCAAAUGAAUUGACGGGGGCCCGCACAAGCGGUGGAGCAUGUGGUUCAAUUCGACGCAACGCGAAGAACCUUACCAGGCCUUGACAUCCCGAUCGCGGCCUCUUGAAAGAGAGGCCUUCAGUUCGGCUGGAUCGGUGACAGGUGCUGCAUGGCUGUCGUCAGCUCGUGUCGUGAGAUGUUGGGUUAAGUCCCGCAACGAGCGCAACCCUCGCCCUUAGUUGCCAUCAUUAAGUUGGGCACUCUAAGGGGACUGCCGGUGAUAAGCCGCGAGGAAGGUGGGGAUGACGUCAAGUCCUCAUGGCCCUUACGGCCUGGGCUACACACGUGCUACAAUGGCGGUGACAGUGGGCAGCAAAGGCGCAAGCCCCAGCUAAUCUCAAAAAACCGUCUCAGUUCGGAUUGGAGUCUGCAACUCGACUCCAUGAAGUUGGAAUCGCUAGUAAUCGUGGAUCAGCACGCCACGGUGAAUACGUUCCCGGGCCUUGCACACACCGCCCGU